RNAcentral lists this ribosomal RNA (2771 nucleotides) under human gut metagenome. RNAcentral's name for it is "bacterial LSU rRNA". It matches the Rfam family "Bacterial large subunit ribosomal RNA". The record is from RNAcentral.
AGCGUACACGGUGGAUGCCCUGGCAGUCAGAGGCGAUGAAGGACGUGCUAAUCUGCGAAAAGCGUCGGUAAGGUGAUAUGAACCGUUAUAACCGGCGAUGUCCGAAUGGGGAAACCCAGUGUGAUUCGUCACACUAUCGUUAACUGAAUACAUAGGUUAACGAGGCGAACCGGGGGAACUGAAACAUCUAAGUACCCCGAGGAAAAGAAAUCAACCGAGAUUCCCCCAGUAGCGGCGAGCGAACGGGGAGCAGCCCAGAGUCUGAAUCAGCUUGUGUGUUAGUGGAACGGUCUGGAAAGUCCGACGGUACAGGGUGAUAGUCCCGUACACCAAAAUGCACAGGCUGUGAACUCGAAGAGUAGGGCGGGACACGUGGUAUCCUGUCUGAAUAUGGGGGGACCAUCCUCCAAGGCUAAAUACUCCUGACUGACCGAUAGUGAACCAGUACCGUGAGGGAAAGGCGAAAAGAACCCCGGCGAGGGGAGUGAAAAAGAACCUGAAACCGUGUACGUACAAGCAGUGGGAGCACCUUCGGGUGUGACUGCGUACCUUUUGUAUAAUGGGUCAGCGACUUAUAUUCUGUAGCAAGGUUAACCGUAUAGGGGAGCCGCAGGGAAACCGAGUCUUAACUGGGCGUUAAGUUGCAGGGUAUAGACCCGAAACCCGGUGAUCUAGCCAUGGGCAGGUUGAAGGUUGGGUAACACUAACUGGAGGACCGAACCGACUAAUGUUGAAAAAUUAGCGGAUGACUUGUGGCUGGGGGUGAAAGGCCAAUCAAACCGGGAGAUAGCUGGUUCUCCCCGAAAGCUAUUUAGGUAGCGCCUCGUGAAUUCAUCUUCGGGGGUAGAGCACUGUUUCGGCUAGGGGGUCAUCCCGACUUACCAACCCGAUGCAAACUACGAAUACCGAAGAAUGUUAUCACGGGAGACACACGGCGGGUGCUAACGUCCGUCGUGAAGAGGGAAACAACCCAGACCGCCAGCUAAGGUCCCAAAGUCAUGGUUAAGUGGGAAACGAUGUGGGAAGGCACAGACAGCCAGGAUGUUGGCUUAGAAGCAGCCAUCAUUUAAAGAAAGCGUAAUAGCUCACUGGUCGAGUCGGCCUGCGCGGAAGAUGUAACGGGGCUAAACCAUGCACCGAAGCUGCGGCAGCGACACUAUGUGUUGUUGGGUAGGGGAGCGUUCUGUAAGCCUGCGAAGGUGUGCUGUGAGGCAUGCUGGAGGUAUCAGAAGUGCGAAUGCUGACAUAAGUAACGAUAAAGCGGGUGAAAAGCCCGCUCGCCGGAAGACCAAGGGUUCCUGUCCAACGUUAAUCGGGGCAGGGUGAGUCGACCCCUAAGGCGAGGCCGAAAGGCGUAGUCGAUGGGAAACAGGUUAAUAUUCCUGUACUUGGUGUUACUGCGAAGGGGGGACGGAGAAGGCUAUGUUAGCCGGGCGACGGUUGUCCCGGUUUAAGCAUGUAGGCUGGUUGUCCAGGCAAAUCCGGAUAAUCAAGGCUGAGGUGUGAUGACGAGGCACUACGGUGCUGAAGUAACAAAUGCCCUGCUUCCAGGAAAAGCCUCUAAGCAUCAGGUAACAUUAAAUCGUACCCCAAACCGACACAGGUGGUCAGGUAGAGAAUACCAAGGCGCUUGAGAGAACUCGGGUGAAGGAACUAGGCAAAAUGGUGCCGUAACUUCGGGAGAAGGCACGCUGGUGUGUAGGUGAAGUCCCUGCGGAUGGAGCUGAGACCAGUCGAAGAUACCAGCUGGCUGCAACUGUUUAUUAAAAACACAGCACUGUGCAAACACGAAAGUGGACGUAUACGGUGUGACGCCUGCCCGGUGCCGGAAGGUUAAUUGAUGGGGUUAUCCGUAAGGAGAAGCUCUUGAUCGAAGCCCCGGUAAACGGCGGCCGUAACUAUAACGGUCCUAAGGUAGCGAAAUUCCUUGUCGGGUAAGUUCCGACCUGCACGAAUGGCGUAAUGAUGGCCAGGCUGUCUCCACCCGAGACUCAGUGAAAUUGAACUCGCUGUGAAGAUGCAGUGUACCCGCGGCAAGACGGAAAGACCCCGUGAACCUUUACUAUAGCUUGACACUGAACAUUGAGCCUUGAUGUGUAGGAUAGGUGGGAGGCUUUGAAGCGUGGACGCCAGUCUGCGUGGAGCCAACCUUGAAAUACCACCCUUUAAUGUUUGAUGUUCUAACGUUGGCCCCUGACCGGGGUUGCGGACAGUGUCUGGUGGGUAGUUUGACUGGGGCGGUCUCCUCCCAAAGCGUAACGGAGGAGCACGAAGGUUAGCUAAUCCUGGUCGGACAUCAGGAGGUUAGUGCAAUGGCAUAAGCUAGCUUGACUGCGAGCGUGACGGCGCGAGCAGGUGCGAAAGCAGGUCAUAGUGAUCCGGUGGUUCUGAAUGGAAGGGCCAUCGCUCAACGGAUAAAAGGUACUCCGGGGAUAACAGGCUGAUACCGCCCAAGAGUUCAUAUCGACGGCGGUGUUUGGCACCUCGAUGUCGGCUCAUCACAUCCUGGGGCUGAAGUAGGUCCCAAGGGUAUGGCUGUUCGCCAUUUAAAGUGGUACGCGAGCUGGGUUUAGAACGUCGUGAGACAGUUCGGUCCCUAUCUGCCGUGGGCGCUGGAGAAUUGAGGGGGGCUGCUCCUAGUACGAGAGGACCGGAGUGGACGCAUCACUGGUGUUCGGGUUGUCAUGCCAAUGGCACUGCCCGGUAGCUAAAUGCGGAAGAGAUAAGUGCUGAAAGCAUCUAAGCACGAAACUUGCCCCGAGAUGAGUUCU